UCGGGCUCAUAACCCGAAGGUCGCAGGUUCGAAUCCUGUCCCCGCCA
Molecule: transfer RNA, 47 nt
Filed under: Balneola sp.
Lineage: Bacteria; Pseudomonadati; Balneolota; Balneolia; Balneolales; Balneolaceae
Description: tRNA-Ser
Rfam family: tRNA
About the family: Transfer RNA (tRNA) molecules are approximately 80 nucleotides in length. Their secondary structure includes four short double-helical elements and three loops (D, anti-codon, and T loops).
Source: RNAcentral